This 532-nucleotide ribosomal RNA is filed under the name uncultured Methanomicrobiales archaeon. RNAcentral describes it as "bacterial SSU rRNA". It matches the Rfam family "Archaeal small subunit ribosomal RNA", at positions 339 to 875 of the family's 1478-position model. Lineage: Archaea; Methanobacteriati; Methanobacteriota; Methanomicrobia; Methanomicrobiales. The record is from RNAcentral.
GCGCGAAAACUUUACAAUGCGGGAAACCGUGAUAAGGGAACUCCGAGUGCCCGUAAAAUCGGGCUGUCCAUCUGUUUAAAUAACAGGUGAAGAAAGGGCCGGGCAAGACCGGUGCCAGCCGCCGCGGUAAUACCGGCGGCUCGAGUGGUGGCCACUAUUACUGGGCUUAAAGCGUUCGUAGCUGGUCUGUUAAGUCUCUGGGGAAAUCUACUGGCUUAACCAAUAGGCGUCUCAGGGAUACUGGCAGACUAGGGACCGGGAGAGGUGAGAGGUACUCCAGGGGUAGGAGUGAAAUCCUGUAAUCCUUGGGGGACCACCUGUGGCGAAGGCGUCUCACCAGAACGGCUCCGACAGUGAGGGACGAAAGCUGGGGGAGCAAACCGGAUUAGAUACCCGGGUAGUCCCAGCCGUAAACGAUGCGCGUUAGGUGUAUCGGUGACCACGAGUCACCGAGGUGCCGAAGAGAAAUCGUGAAACGUGCCGCCUGGGAAGUACGGUCGCAAGGCUGAAACUUAAAGGAAUUGGCGGGGGA